GAUGAACGCUGGCGGCGUGCCUAAUACAUGCAAGUCGAGCGAACGGACGAGACGCUUGCUUCUCUGAUGUUAGCGGCGGACGGGUGAGUAACACGUGUAUAACCUACCUAUAAGACUGGGAUAACUUCGGGAAACCGGAGCUAAUACCGGAUAAUAUUUUGAACCGCAUGGUUCAAAAGUGAAAGACGGUCUUGCUGUCACUUAUAGAUGGAUCCGCGCUGCAUUAGCUAGUUGGUAAGGUAACGGCUUACCAAGGCAACGAUGCAUAGCCGACCUGAGAGGGUGAUCGGCCACACUGGAACUGAGACACGGUCCAGACUCCUACGGGAGGCAGCAGUAGGGAAUCUGACGCAAUGGGCGAAAGCCUGACGGAGCAACGGCGCGUGAGUGAUGAAGGUCUUCGGAUCGUAAAACUCUGUUAUUAGGGAAGAACAGAUGUGGAAGUAACUGUGCACAUCGUGACGGUACCUAAUCAGAAAGCCACGGCUAACUACGUG
This 497-nucleotide ribosomal RNA is filed under the name uncultured bacterium. RNAcentral describes it as "partial 16S ribosomal RNA". It matches the Rfam family "Bacterial small subunit ribosomal RNA", at positions 28 to 507 of the family's 1533-position model. The record is from RNAcentral.